AGCGUUGUUGGCGCGGGCGAGGCGAGGGUGUCGCGCGCAUGGCUCUGCCGAGCUCGGCGGUGAAGCUCCGCCGGAUCCUGGCGCAUUUCCCUCAAGAGCUCAGCCUCGCCUUUGCUUAUGGCUCCGGCGUCUUCCAGCAAGCGGGGGCUUCCUCCGCGGAAAAGGAGAACAAUAUGCUGGAUUUUGUAUUUGCUGUUGAUGAUUCUGUAUCAUGGCAUUCAAUGAACCUCUUGAAGAAUCGGAGUCAUUAUUCUUUCCUGAAGUAUUUGGGGCCCAAACCAAUCUCUUCUGUCCAGAAGUAUGGAGCAGGAAUUUACUUCAAUACAUUGGUGCCUUGUAAUGGUAAGGUUAUAAAAUACGGUGUAAUUAGUACUGAUGCACUUAUAGAAGAUUUGCUUCACUGGAAGACUCUCUAUGUAGCAGGACGUCUGCAAAAGCCGGUUAAAAUCCUAACCCAGAAUGAAAAUUCAAAGCUGCAGUCUGCCCUCACAAGCAAUUUGAAGAGUGCACUCACAGCAGCCUUUCUUAUGUUGCCUGAAAGUUUCUCUGAAGAAGAUCUUUAUAUGCAGAUUGCGGGACUCUCAUAUUUUGGUGACUUCAGAAUGAUCAUUGGAGAAGAUAAGUCAAAGGUUAUGAACAUAGUGAAGCCAAACAUGGUACAUUUUCAGAAGCUAUACAGUAACAUGCUGCAAGAUUGCCCACAAGUGGUAUACAAGCACCAUCUGGGCAGAAUGGAGAUAGAUAAGAGUCCGGAAGGUCAAUUUACACAACUGAUGACUUUGCCAAGGGCCUUGCAGCAGAAAAUAACAUCUCUCAUGGAUCCUCCAGGGAAGAACAGAGAUGUUGAAGAAAUUUUAUUGCAAGUUGCCCAUGAUCCAGACUGUGGAUUAGUGGUACAUCAGGGCAUUUCGAGAAUUGUGAGAUUGUCCAGCCUAGUUCAGAGUGCUAAAACCACCCUAACAGUUGGGAUGAAAAAAUCAGUGAUUUACAGCACAAAGAAGUUGUACAAAAUGUCAAAAGGAUGGCUAAGGAAGACAUGAAGUCUGUGGAAAAAUUGGCUGAGAUUAAGGCCAAUUACAGGUUGUGAAGAAGAGGCUAACAUGGCUACCGCUUCACAAACAUCUGAGCUGAAACCAAACAGAUAAUAAGAUUUAUCCAAACUUUUCAACAAUCCGACUGUUUCCACCCACUGGAAUAUGUAUCUCCAAACGUAGAGGUUUGUAGUCGGCUUGCAGAUCAUCCAGCGGUCAAAGUUAAAGGGGAGGACAUCUUACAGAGGCAUACUGUGUAAUUUUAAGAAAUAGUAAAUGGAAAUCCUUCAAAAGGCAAGCAUGCAGAAUAAAGUUUUGCAUACCUGGCAGUGCAUGUUACAAGGUAUGCAGUGUUCAAAAUCUGAGACUUCAUAUCCAAAUAAAGGCAAUGCCAAGCUACUAUUUUUGAAGAACUGGGCUGCUGGUUGAUUAAACGUUUGGAGGUUUUGUGUCCCUUUGAGACCCUAUCUUUCUUCCCCCUCUUAUGCUGGAGCCUUUUCCUCUUUGUCUCUUGGUGAAUAUAUAUUUUCUAUGAAUAUGUCUUUCUGUAUUUUAUAAUUGUAUUUUGACUAAUAAAACU
RNA transcript from Pogona vitticeps (central bearded dragon), 1611 nucleotides. It is a transcript of the gene named TAM41 mitochondrial translocator assembly and maintenance homolog, with no coding region annotated. Lineage: Eukaryota; Metazoa; Chordata; Lepidosauria; Squamata; Agamidae. The record is from RefSeq and is a predicted model, not a curated record.